Molecule: ribosomal RNA, 305 nt
Filed under: uncultured bacterium
Lineage: Bacteria
Description: bacterial SSU rRNA
Rfam family: Bacterial small subunit ribosomal RNA
Source: RNAcentral
AGGAUCCUACGGGGGGCAGCAGUGGGGGAUAUUGGACAAUGGGGGAAACCCUGAUCCAGCGACGCCGCGUGAGUGAAGAAGUAUUUCGGUAUGUAAAGCUCUAUCAGCAGGGAAGAAAGAAAUGACGGUACCUGAGUAAGAAGCCCCGGCUAACUACGUGCCAGCAGCCGCGGUAAUACGUAGGGGGCAAGCGUUAUCCGGAUUUACUGGGUGUAAAGGGUGCGUAGGCGGGUAAGCAAGUCAGAAGUGAAAUCCAUGGGCUUAACCCAUGAACUGCUUUUGAAACUGUUUAUCUUGAGUGAAGG